This 253-nucleotide ribosomal RNA is filed under the name uncultured bacterium. RNAcentral describes it as "partial 16S ribosomal RNA". It matches the Rfam family "Bacterial small subunit ribosomal RNA", at positions 524 to 776 of the family's 1533-position model. The record is from RNAcentral.
UACGGAGGAUGCGAGCGUUACCCGGAUUUACUGGGUGUAAAGGGCGUGUAGGCGGUCUCUCAAGUCCGAUGCUAAAGACCGAGGCUCAACCUCGGGAGUGCGUUGGAUACUGUGAGGCUAGACGGUCGGAGAGGGCAGCGGAAUUCUCGGAGUAGCGGUGAAAUGCGCAGAUACCGAGAGGAACGCCAAUAGCGCAGGCAGCUGCCUGGACGAUGUGUGCUGCUGAGGCGCGAAAGCGUGGGGAGCAAACCGG